AGCCUUGAGGGGGAGGAAGGAGAAAGAAGGAGGAAAAGCCACUUUUGUGUAAAGUGAAAGGCAGUGAUGUCACCUGUAAGUAUGCUGCUGUGUGACAGAGUGGGGAAUUCUCAGUAACUCCUCCUUUACACAAACAGAUCAUAUUUAAGGCAAACCUUCGUCCCUCCUUCAGCACAACUCAGCUUUCCAUCAGUCUGAACAACUUCAACAGAAACACCAUGGCAGCAGACGGGUUUCCUGCCAGUUUCUAUGGAGAACCAGGAGUAUUAGGAAUGUUAACACUCCAGGCAGCCUAUGGAUUCACAGCUGGAGGCGUUGCUUUACUGGUCAAUAAUGCCUUCCUCAUGUUGAUUGCUGCUUAUAGGAACGUGGUUCUGUUGUUUCUAACAACAAUCAAGGAGGUUGUUCUUGUCUGCUUCCUUCUCUCCACCCUGCACAGACUUCCAUACCAACUUGAAAGUGAGUUAAAACCGCCUGUUAUAAACUUUAUGUAUUUACGAUUCUGACUCUCAUCAGAACAAAUAAAGUCUAACAUCCAGAAACGAUGUAUUGCAGUUGCCAUGCUUGCAUUGGUAUCCAUCAUUUGCUUUUAUGGCACCUUGGCUUCACUGAUGAACUGCAUCUUCUCACAAAGAGUGAUCCCAAUGGGUCCUCCCAUAAUAAAGGUAAUGACUGAAGUUUAGAUUCACCUACCUUUAAGAAUCAGCAAGAAUAAUUAAUAAAAAUGUGUGUGUUUUGUUUUAGGAAAAAGUGAAACAGGAAGCUUGUGACGAGCCGUCCUGUCCGGUGGCUAGCUCGCGUCUCACCAGCGGUCUGUUGAAGAUAGCUCGACUUCUCGAGGACGGGGGUGUGUGUGGUAUUCCCACAGAUACUGUGUACGCUCUGGCUGCUUCCUGCAAGAAUCCUCAGGCGAUAGAAAAAAUCUACAACAUUAAAGUAAGAAGAUAGAGGAGGCUUGUUUAACAGCAAUAUACAUUUUCAUGAAGUCACCAUCUUGUUGAAUUGGACCUUUUGCAGGACAGACCUGCAGAGAAGCCUAUAUGCAUUUGCAUCUCCAGUGUGGAACAGCUGGUUGCAGCCAGGCCUCCUUUCAGCCCUCUGCUGUGGGAGUUCAUGAGGAAUGUGUAUCCUGGAGGCAUCAGCUGCAUUGUCAGCAAAGGAGACUGGCUUUACAGACUAGGUCA
Molecule: non-coding RNA, 1184 nt
Organism: Nothobranchius furzeri (turquoise killifish)
Lineage: Eukaryota; Metazoa; Chordata; Actinopteri; Cyprinodontiformes; Nothobranchiidae
Source: RefSeq, a predicted model, not a curated record